UAGUACUACUUAUUGUUGUUGUUGUUACUAUUAUUGCUGUUAGUAUGUAUACUUGUACGUAUGUAAACCACUUAAAGUUGUUAUGUCUUACAUUUGCUUCAUUAUCUAGCGGCAAGAUCGCUCUACACGCCGCCUUCACCUAACCAAAUUUCGUCUGCCAACUGCUGCGCAUGUUUAUAAACAGAUUUUUGUUGCUUUUCUAAUUGUUUAGUCGCCAGUUAGUUGCUGGUGCUAACACGUAACCCAAUUUCAUGUUGAGGUUGUGCUACAAAAGAGAUAAUUUCUAUUUAAAAGCUUUCAAUGUGAAGGUGGCAAUUAAGAGUUGAAGUUGUUGCUGUUUGUUGUUGUGAAUAUAAUAAAAAAUGUUAUAUAUAAUCGUGAGAAGCAUAAUGAUUUCAACAUCAACUAAAUUUUCAUAGAAAUAUAGAAGAUCUGAGAAAGUUUGGUGGAUCACAUUUGCAUACUAUACCGGCCUCUAAAUUUAAAAAAACCAUUUACUUCAUCACACCACACACUUCCAGUCAUUGCAAUUCUUUCCGCUGCUCAACUGCACGCAAUUCUUCUGCUUUGUCUGCAUAGGUACUCAUUUUUAAGUACAAGGCAUUUAAGAAUAAUGGGUUCUUUUGGAGACACGCAACCAUAUAUGGCACAAGCUCCAACUUGUUUGCUUUACUGAAAUGUCACUGAAAUGACGCUCAAAGUUCAAAGCUGUGUGGGCAGCGUACACGCGAUUGCAAUGAAGCUGGUUGUACGCGUAUGUAGUUGCACAAAUGAAGUUGAAGCUGGAUGUUUGUGCUUGAUUAUGACUUUUUUGCGCUAUAAAAAGUGGAAGUGCUGUAUGAAUCAGACUUGUGUGCCCUUAUAUGGUUUAAUACUUUUUUGUCUUAUUUACUUAAGAGUGAUGAUUACUUGUUUUCGGUUGCUUUCUAAACGGAGAAGAAUGAGGAAGCAAGCAGUAAUGUAAUAAAUAUAUGCACAUUUAGUGUUUAAUAACAAUUGUUAUAUAAAAUUGAACUGACUUAAUAUAAGAAAUUUAUAAUCUAGUUGAAAUAUUUAAAAAUCGUUAACUUGUCGACGUACACAUUUCAAUUAAUUUAGCUUAAAUUUCUUGAAAUAAAAAACAUGUAUUUUCA
This is a long non-coding RNA of Zeugodacus cucurbitae (melon fly), 1133 nucleotides long. RefSeq lists it as uncharacterized. The record is from RefSeq and is a predicted model, not a curated record. NCBI's taxonomy places the organism in Eukaryota, Metazoa, Arthropoda, Insecta, Diptera, Tephritidae. The transcript is spliced from 2 exons.